CCUACGGGGGGCAGCAGUGGGGAAUAUUGCACAAUGGGCGCAAGCCUGAUGCAGCCAUGCCGCGUGUGUGAAGAAGGCCUUCGGGUUGUAAAGCACUUUCAGCGGGGAGGAAGGCGUUAAGGUUAAUAACCUUGUCGAUUGACGUUACCCGCAGAAGAAGCACCGGCUAACUCCGUGCCAGCAGCCGCGGUAAUACGGAGGGUGCAAGCGUUAAUCGGAAUUACUGGGCGUAAAGCGCACGCAGGCGGUCUGUCAAGUCGGAUGUGAAAUCCCCGGGCUCAACCGGGGAACUGCAUUCGAAACUGGCAGGCUAGAGGCUUGGAGAGGGGGGUAGAAUUCCAGGUGUAGCGGUGAAAUGCGUAGAGAUCUGGAGGAAUACCGGUGGCGAAGGCGGCCCCCUGGACAAAGACUGACGCUCAGGUGCGAAAGCGUGGGGAGCAAACAGGAUUAGAUACCCGAGUAGUC
RNAcentral lists this ribosomal RNA (465 nucleotides) under uncultured Klebsiella sp. RNAcentral describes it as "bacterial SSU rRNA". It matches the Rfam family "Bacterial small subunit ribosomal RNA", at positions 338 to 795 of the family's 1533-position model. Lineage: Bacteria; Pseudomonadati; Pseudomonadota; Gammaproteobacteria; Enterobacterales; Enterobacteriaceae. The record is from RNAcentral.